UGGGGAAUCUUGGACAAUGGGGGCAACCCUGAUCCAGCCAUGCCGCGUGAACGAUGAAGGCCUUAGGGUUGUAAAGUUCUUUCGCCGGCGACGAUAAUGACGGUAGCCGGAGAAGAAGCCCCGGCUAACUCCGUGCCAGCAGCCGCGGUAAUACGGAGGGGGCUAGCGUUGUUCGGAAUUACUGGGCGUAAAGCGCGCGUAGGCGGACCCGUCAGUCGGGGGUGAAAUCCCAGGGCUCAACCCUGGAACGGCCUUCGAUACUGCUGGUCUGGAGGACGAGAGAGGCAAGUGGAAUACCGAGUGUAGAGGUGAAAUUCGUAGAUAUUCGGUGGAACACCCGUGGCGAAGGCGGCUUGCUGGCUCGUUUCUGACGCUGAGGCGCGAAAGCGUGGGGAGCAAACAGGAUUAGAUACCCCCGUAGUCC
RNAcentral lists this ribosomal RNA (424 nucleotides) under uncultured prokaryote. RNAcentral describes it as "bacterial SSU rRNA". It matches the Rfam family "Bacterial small subunit ribosomal RNA", at positions 355 to 796 of the family's 1533-position model. The record is from RNAcentral.